RNAcentral lists this microRNA (21 nucleotides) under Zea mays. Its description in RNAcentral is "zma-miR397b-3p". Its record names the gene zma-miR397b-3p. The record is from miRBase by way of RNAcentral. Lineage: Eukaryota; Viridiplantae; Streptophyta; Magnoliopsida; Poales; Poaceae.
CCAGCGCUGCACUCAAUUACG